RNAcentral lists this ribosomal RNA (253 nucleotides) under uncultured bacterium. RNAcentral describes it as "partial 16S ribosomal RNA". It matches the Rfam family "Bacterial small subunit ribosomal RNA", at positions 524 to 776 of the family's 1533-position model. The record is from RNAcentral.
UACGGGGGGGGCAAGCGUUGUUCGGAAUUACUGGGCGUAAAGGGCUUGUAGGUGGCCAACUAAGUCAGACGUGAAAUCCCUCGGCUUAACCGGGGAACUGCGUCUGAUACUGGAUGGCUUGAGAUUGGGAGAGGGAUGCGGAAUUCCAGGUGUAGCGGUGAAAUGCGUAGAUAUCUGGAGGAACACCGGUGGCGAAGGCGGCAUCCUGGACCAACACUGACGCUGAGGAGCGAAAGCGUGGGGAGCGAACAGG